Molecule: small RNA, 1326 nt
Filed under: Pongo abelii (Sumatran orangutan)
Lineage: Eukaryota; Metazoa; Chordata; Mammalia; Primates; Hominidae
Description: retained intron
Source: RNAcentral
UUGGGGUUGUGCUCCAGGGAUGGCCUUUCACAUAGACUGCAGUGUAAAUGACACCCUCUGGAAUGUGCAUUGCAGGGCCUUGCUUAGUGGUAGGGAAUGAUUUCCAUCACUUCUGUGAGAUUCUCCUUCCCAAUAAGUCUUCCUGUGACUUCCCUAUUUCCCCCAUCCCAGAUUAACUCAACAGUGUCACUCCCUGGGGGUGGGUCUGGCCCCCCUGAAGAUGUGAAGCCACCAGUCUUAGGGGUCCGGGGCCUGCACUGUCCACCCCCUCCAGGUGGCCCUGGGGCUGGCAAACGGCUAUGUGCAAUCUGCGGGGACAGAAGCUCAGGCAAACACUACGGGGUUUACAGCUGUGAGGGUUGCAAGGGCUUCUUCAAACGCACCAUCCGCAAGGACCUUACAUACUCUUGCCGGGACAACAAAGACUGCACAGUGGACAAGCGCCAGCGGAACCGCUGUCAGUACUGCCGCUAUCAGAAGUGCCUGGCCACUGGCAUGAAGAGGGAGGCAGUACAGGAGGAGCGUCAGCGGGGAAAGGACAAGGAUGGGGAUGGGGAGGGGGCUGGGGGAGCCCCGGAGGAGAUGCCUGUGGACAGGAUCCUGGAGGCAGAGCUUGCUGUGGAACAGAAGAGUGACCAGGGCGUUGAGGGUCCUGGGGGAACCGGGGGUAGCGGCAGCAGUGUGAGUGUUGGGGUCAAUCCACUCUCCUUCGUGAUGGGGGUUGGGGGAGGCAGUCUAGGUCUGUUCUAUAUCCCCUCCCCCUCCUUUCCCCUUAUAACCUUCCUAACACUACUCGGGGCUGGAAGUGCUGCCAAACAAGGUCUUUCAAACAUCUGAGGUGGAUGUGAUAGCUCCUUCUGUCUCCACUCCCCAAACAACCCACUGGCAGAACCACAAGCAUGUCCCAAAUAAAUAAUUGUUUGCACGAAUGCCAGAAGAGAAGACUCACAGGGAUUGGUUUGGAUGGGGCACACAAGAAGACUAUAUGUAAGGAGGGGGUGUCAAAAGCCUCUUACAAGGGGGCUCCCAGCGUAUCUCAAAAUCUUCCAUAACUCUUACCCCCGUCCCCUGCAGCCAAAUGACCCGGUGACUAACAUCUGUCAGGCAGCUGACAAACAGCUAUUCACGCUUGUUGAGUGGGCGAAGAGGAUCCCACACUUUUCCUCCUUGCCUCUGGAUGAUCAGGUCAUAUUGCUGCGGGCAGGUCAGUGACCUUGGAUCCUUUUGACCUCUUGACAUUUGACCCCUCUUUGACUUCCCGACCUUUAGUGACCCCAAUGGCCUUACCUUGCAUACUCAGGGAGCCAAACUUGCUGACCUCACCAC